UACGGAGGGUGCGAGCGUUGUCCGGAAUCAUUGGGCGUAAAGCGCGCGUAGGCGGCCCGGUAAGUCCGUUGUGAAAGUCAAAGGCUCAACCUUUGAAUGCCGAUGGAUACUGCCGGGCUCGAGUCCGGAAGAGGCGAGUGGAAUUCCUGGUGUAGCGGUGGAAUGCGCAGAUAUCAGGAGGAACACCGGCGGUGUAGACGGCUUGCUAGACCAUAACUGACGCUGAGGCACGAAAGCGUGGGUAGCAAACAGG
Molecule: ribosomal RNA, 253 nt
Filed under: uncultured bacterium
Lineage: Bacteria
Description: partial 16S ribosomal RNA
Rfam family: Bacterial small subunit ribosomal RNA
Source: RNAcentral